UGGCAAGGAAUUCCUCAGCAGUGCCCA
RNAcentral lists this non-coding RNA (27 nucleotides) under Mus musculus (house mouse). Lineage: Eukaryota; Metazoa; Chordata; Mammalia; Rodentia; Muridae. The record is from RNAcentral.